This 466-nucleotide ribosomal RNA is filed under the name uncultured bacterium. RNAcentral's name for it is "partial 16S ribosomal RNA". It matches the Rfam family "Bacterial small subunit ribosomal RNA", at positions 28 to 507 of the family's 1533-position model. The record is from RNAcentral.
GAUGAACGCUGGCGGCGUGCUUAACACAUGCAAGUCGAACGGAAAGGCCCAAACUUGCUUGGGUACUCGAGUGGCGAACGGGUGAGUAACACGUGGGUGAUCUGCCCUGCACUUCGGGAUAAGCCUGGGAAACUGGGUCUAUUACCGGAUAGGACCUCAUGUUGGACGGUGUGGUGGAAAGUUUUUCGGUGUGGGUUGAGCUGGUGGCCUACCAGCUGGUUGGUGGGGUAAUGGCCUACCAAGCUGCGGACGAGUGGACGGACUGAGAGGGUGUGAGGCCACCCUGGGACCUAGAGGAGGCACAGGUUGCUAAGGGAGGGCGCUGUGGGGAAGCCUGACGAAGCGGCGCCAGCCUGAUGCAGCGACGCCGCGGGGCGGAUGACGGUCUUCGGGUUGUAAAACCCUUUCGUUAGGAACGAAGCGUUAUGUGACGGUACCUGGAGAAGAAGCACCGGCUAACUACGUG